CCUACGGGUGGCAGCAGUGGGGGAUAUUGCACAAUGGGGGAAACCCUGAUGCAGCGACGCCGCGUGGGUGAAGAAGCGCCUCGGCGCGUAAGGCCCUGUCAGCGGGGAGGAAAAUGACGUUACCUGAAGAAGAAGCCCCGGCUAACUACGUGCAAACAGCCGCGGUAAUACGGAGGGGGCAAGCGGUAUCCGGAUUUACUGGGGGUAAAGGGGGCGCAGACGGCGAUGCAAGCCAGGAGUGAAAGCCCGGGGCCCAACCCCGGGACUGCUCUUGGAACUGCGUGGCUAGAGUGCAGGAGGGGCAGGCGGAAUUCCUGGUGUAGCGGUGAAAUGCGUAGAUAUCAGGAGGAACACCGGUGGCGAAGGCGGCCUGCUGGACUGCAACUGACGUUGAGGCCCGAAAGCGUGGGGAGCAAACAGGAUUAGAUACCCGAGUAGUC
RNAcentral lists this ribosomal RNA (440 nucleotides) under uncultured bacterium. RNAcentral's name for it is "partial 16S ribosomal RNA". It matches the Rfam family "Bacterial small subunit ribosomal RNA", at positions 338 to 795 of the family's 1533-position model. The record is from RNAcentral.